RNAcentral lists this ribosomal RNA (1463 nucleotides) under Vibrio sp. RNAcentral's name for it is "bacterial SSU rRNA". It matches the Rfam family "Bacterial small subunit ribosomal RNA". Lineage: Bacteria; Pseudomonadati; Pseudomonadota; Gammaproteobacteria; Vibrionales; Vibrionaceae. The record is from RNAcentral.
GGGCCUGGGCGGCAGCCUACACAUGCAAGUCGAGCGGAAACGAGUUAUCUGAACCUUCGGGGAACGAUAACGGCGUCGAGCGGCGGACGGGUGAGUAAUGCCUAGGAAAUUGCCCUGAUGUGGGGGAUAACCAUUGGAAACGAUGGCUAAUACCGCAUGAUGCCUACGGGCCAAAGAGGGGGACCUUCGGGCCUCUCGCGUCAGGAUAUGCCUAGGUGGGAUUAGCUAGUUGGUGAGGUAAGGGCUCACCAAGGCGACGAUCCCUAGCUGGUCUGAGAGGAUGAUCAGCCACACUGGAACUGAGACACGGUCCAGACUCCUACGGGAGGCAGCAGUGGGGAAUAUUGCACAAUGGGCGCAAGCCUGAUGCAGCCAUGCCGCGUGUGUGAAGAAGGCCUUCGGGUUGUAAAGCACUUUCAGUCGUGAGGAAGGUAGUGUAGUUAAUAGCUGCAUUAUUUGACGUUAGCGACAGAAGAAGCACCGGCUAACUCCGUGCCAGCAGCCGCGGUAAUACGGAGGGUGCGAGCGUUAAUCGGAAUUACUGGGCGUAAAGCGCAUGCAGGUGGUUUGUUAAGUCAGAUGUGAAAGCCCGGGGCUCAACCUCGGAAUAGCAUUUGAAACUGGCAGACUAGAGUACUGUAGAGGGGGGUAGAAUUUCAGGUGUAGCGGUGAAAUGCGUAGAGAUCUGAAGGAAUACCGGUGGCGAAGGCGGCCCCCUGGACAGAUACUGACACUCAGAUGCGAAAGCGUGGGGAGCAAACAGGAUUAGAUACCCUGGUAGUCCACGCCGUAAACGAUGUCUACUUGGAGGUUGUGGCCUUGAGCCGUGGCUUUCGGAGCUAACGCGUUAAGUAGACCGCCUGGGGAGUACGGUCGCAAGAUUAAAACUCAAAUGAAUUGACGGGGGCCCGCACAAGCGGUGGAGCAUGUGGUUUAAUUCGAUGCAACGCGAAGAACCUUACCUACUCUUGACAUCCAGAGAACUUUCCAGAGAUGGAUUGGUGCCUUCGGGAACUCUGAGACAGGUGCUGCAUGGCUGUCGUCAGCUCGUGUUGUGAAAUGUUGGGUUAAGUCCCGCAACGAGCGCAACCCUUAUCCUUGUUUGCCAGCGAGUAAUGUCGGGAACUCCAGGGAGACUGCCGGUGAUAAACCGGAGGAAGGUGGGGACGACGUCAAGUCAUCAUGGCCCUUACGAGUAGGGCUACACACGUGCUACAAUGGCGCAUACAGAGGGCGGCCAACUUGCGAAAGUGAGCGAAUCCCAAAAAGUGCGUCGUAGUCCGGAUUGGAGUCUGCAACUCGACUCCAUGAAGUCGGAAUCGCUAGUAAUCGUGGAUCAGAAUGCCACGGUGAAUACGUUCCCGGGCCUUGUACACACCGCCCGUCACACCAUGGGAGUGGGCUGCAAAAGAAGUAGGUAGUUUAACCUUCGGGGGGACGCUUACCACUUUGUGUUCCAUGGG